Molecule: ribosomal RNA, 497 nt
Filed under: uncultured bacterium
Lineage: Bacteria
Description: partial 16S ribosomal RNA
Rfam family: Bacterial small subunit ribosomal RNA
Source: RNAcentral
GAUGAACGCUGGCGGCGUGCCUAAUACAUGCAAGUCGAGCGAACAGACGAGGAGCUUGCUCCUCUGACGUUAGCGGCGGACGGGUGAGUAACACGUGGAUAACCUACCUAUAAGACUGGGAUAACUUCGGGAAACCGGAGCUAAUACCGGAUAAUAUAUUGAACCGCCUGGUUCAAUAGUGAAAGACGGUUUUGCUGUCACUUAUAGAUGGAUCCGCGCCGCAUUAGCUAGUUGGUAAGGUAACGGCUUACCAAGGCAACGAUGCGUAGCCGACCUGAGAGGGUGAUCGGCCACACUGGAACUGAGACACGGUCCAGACUCCUACGGGAGGCAGCAGUAGGGAAUCUUCCGCAAUGGGCGAAAGCUUGACGGAGCAACGCCGCGUGAGUGAUGAAGGUCUUCGGAUCGUAAAACUCUGUUAUUAGGGAAGAACAAAUGUGUAAGUAACUAUGCACGUCUUGACGGUACCUAAUCAGAAAGCCACGGCUAACUACGUG